RNAcentral lists this ribosomal RNA (493 nucleotides) under uncultured bacterium. RNAcentral's name for it is "partial 16S ribosomal RNA". It matches the Rfam family "Bacterial small subunit ribosomal RNA", at positions 28 to 523 of the family's 1533-position model. The record is from RNAcentral.
GACGAACGCUGGCGGCGUGCUUAACACAUGCAAGUCGAACGCUGAAGCUCUUUCGGGGGUGGAUGAGUGGCGAACGGGUGAGUAACACGUGGGUAAUCUGCCCUGUCCUUCGGGAUAUGCCUUGGAAACGGGGACUAAUACCGGAUAGCAUCUGUCCUCCCACUGGGGUGGGUCGAAAGUUCCGGCGGUCUGGGAUGAGCCCGCGGCCUAUCAGAUUGUUGGUGGGGUAGUGGCCUACCAAGGCGACGACGGGUAGCCGGCCGGGGAGGGUGACCGGUCACACUGGGACUGAGACACGGCCCAGACUCCUACGGGAGGCAGCAGUGGGGAAUCUUGCGCAAUGGGCGAAAGCCUGACGCAGCAACGCCGCGUGGGAGAUGACGGCCUUCGGGUUGUAAACUUCUUCCGACAUCGACGAAGGGGCCCUGUUGUGGGGUUUUGACGGUAGGUGUAGAAGAAGCACCGGCUAACUACGUGCCAGCCGCCGCCGUAA